Molecule: unclassified non-coding RNA, 413 nt
Filed under: soil metagenome
Description: partial contains 5.8S ribosomal RNA, internal transcribed spacer 2, and large subunit ribosomal RNA
Rfam family: 5.8S ribosomal RNA (bases 1-120)
Source: RNAcentral
GAUGAAGAACGAAGCGAAAUGCGAUAAGUAAUGUGAAUUGCAGAAUUCAGUGAAUCAUCGAAUCUUUGAACGCACCUUGCGCUCUUUGGUAUUCCGAAGAGCAUGCCUGUUUGAGUGUCAUGAAAAUAUCAACCUUGACUUGGGUUUUGUGCUCUAGUCUCGGCUUGGAAUUGGGUGCUUGCCGCUUUUACGAGCGGCUCACCUUAAAUGUAUUAGCUGGAUCUGUCUUUGAGACUUGGUUUGACUUGGCGUAAUAAGUAUUUCGCUAAGGACAUUCUUCGGAGUGGCCUCGUUUCUAGGACGCUUGUCCGCUUUCCAAUACAAGUUCCACCUCGUGGACAUGACUUUUUAUUAUCUGGCCUCAAAUCAGGCAGGACUACCCGCUGAACUUAAGCAUAUCAAUAAGCGGAGGA